UACGUAGGGAGCAAGCGUUGUUCGGAUUUCCUGGGCGUAAAGGGCGCGUAGGCGGCAAAUCAAGUCAGCUGUGAAAUCUCCGAGCUUAACUCGGAACUGUCAGCUGAUACUGAUCUGCUAGAGUGCGGAAGGGGCAAUCGGAAUUCUUGGUGUAGCGGUGAAAUGCGUAGAUAUCAAGAGGAACACCUGAGGUGAAGACGGGUUGCUGGGCCGACACUGACGCUGAGUGCGCGAAAGCCAGGGGAGCAAACGGG
This 254-nucleotide ribosomal RNA is filed under the name uncultured bacterium. RNAcentral's name for it is "partial 16S ribosomal RNA". It matches the Rfam family "Bacterial small subunit ribosomal RNA", at positions 524 to 776 of the family's 1533-position model. The record is from RNAcentral.